RNAcentral lists this ribosomal RNA (684 nucleotides) under Escherichia coli. Its description in RNAcentral is "partial 23S ribosomal RNA". It matches the Rfam family "Bacterial large subunit ribosomal RNA", at positions 552 to 1238 of the family's 2925-position model. The record is from RNAcentral. Lineage: Bacteria; Pseudomonadati; Pseudomonadota; Gammaproteobacteria; Enterobacterales; Enterobacteriaceae.
GAAACCGUGUACGUACAAGCAGUGGGAGCCUCUUAAUGGGGUGACUGCGUACCUUUUGUAUAAUGGGUCAGCGACUUAUAUUCUGUAGCAAGGUUAACCGAAUAGGGGAGCCGAAGGGAAACCGAGUCUUAACUGGGCGUUAAGUUGCAGGGUAUAGACCCGAAACCCGGUGAUCUAGCCAUGGGCAGGUUGAAGGUUGGGUAACACUAACUGGAGGACCGAACCGACUAAUGUUGAAAAAUUAGCGGAUGACUUGUGGCUGGGGGUGAAAGGCCAAUCAAACCGGGAGAUAGCUGGUUCUCCCCGAAAGCUAUUUAGGUAGCGCCUCGUGAAUUCAUCUCCGGGGGUAGAGCACUGUUUCGGCAAGGGGGUCAUCCCGACUUACCAACCCGAUGCAAACUGCGAAUACCGGAGAAUGUUAUCACGGGAGACACACGGCGGGUGCUAACGUCCGUCGUGAAGAGGGAAACAACCCAGACCGCCAGCUAAGGUCCCAAAGUCAUGGUUAAGUGGGAAACGAUGUGGGAAGGCCCAGACAGCCAGGAUGUUGGCUUAGAAGCAGCCAUCAUUUAAAGAAAGCGUAAUAGCUCACUGGUCGAGUCGGCCUGCGCGGAAGAUGUAACGGGGCUAAACCAUGCACCGAAGCUGCGGCAGCGACACUAUGUGUUGUUGGGUAGGGGAGCG